GUGUAAAUUACCAUGGACCUAUAUCCCUUAAUUAAAAUGUUUAAGAAAAUGUUUUUCUUAAGUUCCUUUAUUAAAUGUAAGCUAUGUGUCAGGUAUUGACAUAUGCUUUUUGUGCACAUGAUCUCAUUUAUUCCUUACAAUUUAGAGGUGUCAGGAUUCCAGGGUGUGGAAAAGUUAGAGAAAUUAAAUAAAUUGCCCAAAGUCACAAUGUGGGUAAACAGUGGAACAAGAAUUCACUUAGGAGUGUCUCCCAUGUUCUGAACCACUAAGUUAAGCUUUACACGGCCCUGUCAUUUGAUUUCCCAGAUUUCUGCAGGAAUGCUCCUUUUAAAUGCUGUCAUUAAAAUUUACACAAAAUUGCCGUUUGCAGACUCAAACUUUUUAAUUAAUUCAUGUAAAAGAAAAGAUUUGCAUAAUAGUUUCUUAUAAAGACAAAAAUAGAGGAUGGUGUGUGUAGCUUUGUGGUAGAGUGCUUGUGUAGCAAGCACAAGAACCUGGGUUAGAUCCCCAGCAAACCCUUCCCCCUAUUGCACACACACAUACAUACACACAUACAUAUAUGUAAAUAUCAAAGAAAAUGUAAAUUUCAUGCUUUAGCAUUUGGGACCUGGGAGAAAGAAGAAAAUCCAACUAAUCUAAUUAUUUACACAAAUCUUUAACACUUAAGGCCCUAUGACAUGUAUUUCAAGGAAUUUUGAGAUAAAUAGGAUAGUCUUGGCCCUUAAGAAUACUUCAAGUGAAAGUAAGUAUGCCAUAAAGUAAUACAAAUGUUCUAUGAGAAGAGUAAGUUAGGUACUGUGAGAAUUUGUGGAAGACACCAGGAAGACUUAUAGAAAAGUAAAUGAUAGGCCUGCUCAAGGAAGGAUAGCACAGUUAUGGAAGGGUCAUUUCAGUGGGAAUUUAAAGAGAGGAAAUUUUGGGGGUGUGUUUGUGGGAACAGCAUGUGGGUUAGUUUGACUAGAAAGUUUCCGCCCCAAGUUCAC
Molecule: long non-coding RNA, 983 nt
Filed under: Marmota monax (woodchuck)
Lineage: Eukaryota; Metazoa; Chordata; Mammalia; Rodentia; Sciuridae
Rfam family: tRNA (bases 448-519)
Source: RNAcentral